This 433-nucleotide ribosomal RNA is filed under the name uncultured bacterium. RNAcentral describes it as "partial 16S ribosomal RNA". It matches the Rfam family "Bacterial small subunit ribosomal RNA", at positions 29 to 507 of the family's 1533-position model. The record is from RNAcentral.
AGCGAACGCUGGCGGCAGGCCUAACACAUGCAAGUCGAACGAACUCUUCGGAGUUAGUGGCGGACGGGUGAGUAACACGUGGGAACGUGCCUUUAGGUUCGGCAUAACUCAGGGAAACUUGUGCUAAUACCGAAUGUGCCCUUCUGGGGAAAGAUUUAUCGCCUUUAGAGCGGCCCGCGUCUGAUUAGCUAGUUGGUGAGGUAAAGGCUCACCAAGGCGACGAUCAGUAGCUGGUCUGAGAGGAUGAUCAGCCACAUUGGGACUGAGACACGGCCCAAACUCCUACGGGAGGCAGCAGUGGGGAAUCUUGCGCAAUGGGCGAAAGCCUGACGCAGCCAUGCCGCGUGAAUGAUGAAGGUCUUAGGAUUGUAAAAUUCUUUCACCGGGGACGAUAAUGACGGUACCCGGAGAAGAAGCCCCGGCUAACUUCGUG